GUGAGGAAUUUUCCGCAAUGGGCGAAAGCCUGACGGAGCAAUGCCGCGUGAAGGAUGAAGGCCUAUGGGUUGUAAACUUCUUUUCUUAGAGAAGAAUAUUGACGGUAUCUGAGGAAUAAGCAUCGGCUAACUCUGUGCCAGCAGCUGCGGUAAGACAGAGGAUGCAAGCGUUACCCGGAAUGAUUGGGCGUAAAGCGUCUGUAGGUGGCUUCAAAAGUCUCCUGUCAAAGAUCAGGGCUUGACCCUGGGCCGACAGGAGAAACUCUGAGGCUAGAGUUUGGUAGGGGCAGAGGGAAUUCCCGGUGGAGCGGUGAAAUGCGUAGAGAUCGGCAGGAACACCAAAGGCGAAAGCACUCUGCUGGGCCACAACUGACACUGAGAGACGAAAGCGAGGGGAGCAAAAGGGAUUAGAAACCCUUGUAGUCC
Molecule: ribosomal RNA, 426 nt
Filed under: uncultured bacterium
Lineage: Bacteria
Description: partial 16S ribosomal RNA
Rfam family: Bacterial small subunit ribosomal RNA
Source: RNAcentral